RNAcentral lists this ribosomal RNA (899 nucleotides) under Pediococcus pentosaceus. Its description in RNAcentral is "bacterial SSU rRNA". It matches the Rfam family "Bacterial small subunit ribosomal RNA", at positions 16 to 869 of the family's 1533-position model. Lineage: Bacteria; Bacillati; Bacillota; Bacilli; Lactobacillales; Lactobacillaceae. The record is from RNAcentral.
AUCAUGCUCAGGAUGAACGCUGGCGGCGUGCCUAAUACAUGCAAGUCGAACGAACUUCCGUUAAUUGAUUAUGACGUACUUGUACUGAUUGAGAUUUUAACACGAAGUGAGUGGCGAACGGGUGAGUAACACGUGGGUAACCUGCCCAGAAGUAGGGGAUAACACCUGGAAACAGAUGCUAAUACCGUAUAACAGAGAAAACCGCAUGGUUUUCUUUUAAAAGAUGGCUCUGCUAUCACUUCUGGAUGGACCCGCGGCGUAUUAGCUAGUUGGUGAGGUAAAGGCUCACCAAGGCAGUGAUACGUAGCCGACCUGAGAGGGUAAUCGGCCACAUUGGGACUGAGACACGGCCCAGACUCCUACGGGAGGCAGCAGUAGGGAAUCUUCCACAAUGGACGCAAGUCUGAUGGAGCAACGCCGCGUGAGUGAAGAAGGGUUUCGGCUCGUAAAGCUCUGUUGUUAAAGAAGAACGUGGGUAAGAGUAACUGUUUACCCAGUGACGGUAUUUAACCAGAAAGCCACGGCUAACUACGUGCCAGCAGCCGCGGUAAUACGUAGGUGGCAAGCGUUAUCCGGAUUUAUUGGGCGUAAAGCGAGCGCAGGCGGUCUUUUAAGUCUAAUGUGAAAGCCUUCGGCUCAACCGAAGAAGUGCAUUGGAAACUGGGAGACUUGAGUGCAGAAGAGGACAGUGGAACUCCAUGUGUAGCGGUGAAAUGCGUAGAUAUAUGGAAGAACACCAGUGGCGAAGGCGGCUGUCUGGUCUGCAACUGACGCUGAGGCUCGAAAGCAUGGGUAGCGAACAGGAUUAGAUACCCUGGUAGUCCAUGCCGUAAACGAUGAUUACUAAGUGUUGGAGGGUUUCCGCCCUUCAGUGCUGCUAGCUAACGCAUUAAGUAAUC